Molecule: ribosomal RNA, 253 nt
Filed under: uncultured bacterium
Lineage: Bacteria
Description: partial 16S ribosomal RNA
Rfam family: Bacterial small subunit ribosomal RNA
Source: RNAcentral
UACAGAGGGUGCGAGCGUUAAUCGGAAUUACUGGGCGUAAAGCGCGCGUAGGCGGCUUUUCAAGUCGAUUGUGAAAUCCCCGGGCUUAACCUGGGAACUGCAGUCGAGACUGUCUAGCUAGAGUAUGGGAGAGGGAAGUGGAAUUUCAGGUGUAGCGGUGAAAUGCGUAGAUAUCUGAAGGAACAUCAGUGGCGAAAGCGACUUCCUGGACCAAUACUGACGCUCAUGUGCGAAAGCGUGGGGAGCAAGCAGG